Erinaceus europaeus (western European hedgehog) is the source of this 632-nucleotide long non-coding RNA. RefSeq lists it as uncharacterized. Lineage: Eukaryota; Metazoa; Chordata; Mammalia; Eulipotyphla; Erinaceidae. The transcript has 4 exons. The record is from RefSeq and is a predicted model, not a curated record.
CAGGUCUGCAAGGCCAGGCAGUAGAGAAGGAGCCAGCAGGGGAGAGGUUCCUGCACAGCAUUAGAUGUGUCUGACUUCUAAGGAAAAUGAGACUCCAGACACAUUGAUGGGGCAUCAACAAGACUGUGGAUAGGAAAUGAGUGAGCUGCCAACUAUUGAGCUGCUGAGCCGGAGACCACAAGACUCCACUUCUGUCUCCAUCAUCGCAGAGCCCUGCCAUCUGGAGCAGACCUCUGAGGAGAACUCAGGAGGAACAGGGGCUCCCACAGCACCCAUUCCACCAACUGAGAAAGAGACCACAGGCACAGAAGAGGGCACCACAGCAGGACAGUCCAAUCAGGGCUCUAGGACCACUUGACCAGGCUCUCCAGGCAGUGCCAGUGGCUCCACUGUGUCUGGAUCAUCUGUGGCAGGGCAACACACCAAGGCUCCAUCAUCCCAGGGCUCUGGCACCACUGGACCAGCACCUAAUGACUCUGGAAAAACAGGGCCACCUGCAGAAAGCUCUGGGACCUCAGGCAAGCCUCAGUAAGGAUGUCAGUCCACAAGCUCAUCUGUCCAUCGACCUGGCACCUCUCAACCAGCUGCAGUGCAGACUAGAACCACUGGGCUAUCUGUCAUGGAGGCAGGAA